This 1365-nucleotide ribosomal RNA is filed under the name activated sludge metagenome. RNAcentral describes it as "bacterial LSU rRNA". It matches the Rfam family "Bacterial large subunit ribosomal RNA", at positions 766 to 2013 of the family's 2925-position model. The record is from RNAcentral.
GUGGAGGCCCGAACCCACUUAGGUUGAAGACUGAGGGGAUGAGUUGUGGGUAGGGGUGAAAGGCCAAUCAAACUCCGUGAUAGCUGGUUCUCCCCGAAAUGCAUUUAGGUGCAGCGUUGCGUGUUUCUCACUGGAGGUAGAGCUACUGGAUGGCCGAUGGGCCCUACUAGGUUACUGACGUCAGCCAAACUCCGAAUGCCGGUGAGUGUAAGCGUGGCAGUGAGACGGCGGGGGAUAAGCUCCGUGCGUCGAGAGGGAAACAGCCCAGAUCGCCGGCUAAGGCCCCUAAGCGUGUGCUAAGUGGAAAAGGAUGUGCAGUCGCGAAGACAACCAGGAGGUUGGCUUAGAAGCAGCCACCCUUGAAAGAGUGCGUAAUAGCUCACUGGUCAAGUGAUUGUGCGCCGAUAAUGUAGCGGGGCUCAAGCACACCGCCGAAGCCGCGGCAAUACGUAAGUAUUGGGUAGGGGAGCGUCCUGCAUCCGGUGAAGCCACAGAGUGAUCUAGUGGUGGAGGGUGUGGGAGUGAGAAUGCAGGCAUGAGUAGCGAUGAGGCAAGUGAGAACCUUGCCCGCCGAAAGACCAAGGGUUCCUGGGCCAGGCCAGUCCUCCCAGGGUGAGUCGGGACCUAAGGCGAGGCCGACAGGCGUAGUCGAUGGACAACGGGUUGAUAUUCCCGUACCCGUGUGUGGGCGCCCAUGAUGAAUCAGUGGUACUAACCACCCAAAAGGUGGUCGAUCAAUCCUUUCGGGGAGCGACGACUGCUGGCUGCGUGGGACCUUCGCUGGUAGUAGUCAAGCGAUGGGGUGACGCAGGAAGGUAGCCAUACCAGUCAGUGGUAAUACUGGGGUAAGCCCGUAGGAAGUCAGAUAGGCAAAUCCGUCUGGCAUAUAUUCCGAGAGGUGAUGCAUAGCCGUUUGCGGCGAAUUUGGUGAUCCUAUGCUGCCGAGAAAAGCCUCUAGCGAGCACACACACGGCCCGUACCCCAAACCAACACAGGUGGUCAGGUAGAGAAUACCAAGGCGUACGAGUGAACUAUGGUUAAGGAACUCGGCAAAAUACCCCCGUAACUUCGGGAGAAGGGGGACCCUCAUACCGUCAUGGCCUUCGCGGCCGGCAGCGGGAGGGGGUCGCAGAAACCAGUGAGAAGCGACUGUUUACUAAAAACACAGGUCCGUGCGAAGUCGCAAGACGAUGUAUACGGACUGACGCCUGCCCGGUGCUGGAAGGUUAAGAGGACCCGUUAACCCUUGGGUGAAGCGGAGAAUUUAAGCCCCAGUAAACGGCGGUGGUAACUAUAACCAUCCUAAGGUAGCGAAAUUCCUUGUCGGGUAAGUUCCGACCUGCACGAAUGGCGUAACGACUUCUC